Molecule: ribosomal RNA, 484 nt
Filed under: uncultured bacterium
Lineage: Bacteria
Description: partial 16S ribosomal RNA
Rfam family: Bacterial small subunit ribosomal RNA
Source: RNAcentral
AUUGAACGCUGGCGGCAGGCCUAACACAUGCAAGUCGAGCGGAUGAAGGGAGCUUGCUCCUGGAUUCAGCGGCGGACGGGUGAGUAAUGCCUAGGAAUCUGCCUGGUAGGGGGGGAUAACGUCCGGAAACGGGCGCUAAUACCGCAUACGUCCUGAGGGAGAAAGUGGGGGAUCUUCGGACCUCACGCUCUCAGAUGAGCCUAGGUCGGAUUAGCGAGUUGGUGGGGUAAAGGCCUACCCAGGGGACGAUCCGGAACUGGUCUGAGAGGAUGAGCAGUCACACUGGAACUGAGACACGGUCCAGACUCCUACGGGAGGCAGCAGUGGGGAAUAUUGGACAAUGGGCGAAAGCCUGAUCCAGCCAUGCCGCGUGUGUGCAGAAGGUCUUCGGAUUGUAAAGCACUUUAAGUUGGGAGGAAGGGCAGUAAGUUAAUACCUUGCUGUUUUGACGUUACCAGCAGAAUAAGCACCGGCUAACUUCGUG